This 492-nucleotide ribosomal RNA is filed under the name uncultured bacterium. Its description in RNAcentral is "partial 16S ribosomal RNA". It matches the Rfam family "Bacterial small subunit ribosomal RNA", at positions 29 to 507 of the family's 1533-position model. The record is from RNAcentral.
AGUGAACGCUGGCGGUAUGCCUUACACAUGCAAGUCGAACGGCAGCACAGUCUUCGCUUUCUCUUCCGGUUGCCAACUGGCGUACAUUUUAUCUAUACAUCCCUUUCUACUUUUUCUUGCGUGAUUACGUUUUCUCACUUACCCUAUUUCCUCUUACCACCUACGCUUGAAAUCAUUGGAUCUUCGGACCUUUCGCGUUUCAAUAUCCCGAUUUCUGAUUAGCUAGUUGGCGGGGUAAAGUCCCACCAAUGCGACGAUCUGUAGAUGGUCUGAGAGGAUGAUCAGCCACACUGGAACUGAGACACGGUCCAGACUCCUACGGGAGGCAGCAGUGGGGAAUAUUGGACAAUGGGGGCAAGCCUGAUCCAGCAAUACCGCGUGAGUGAAGAAGGCCUUCGGGUUGUAAAGCUCUUUUGGUGGGAAAGAAAAGGAGUAGGAUAAUACCCCGAGGGGAUGACGGUACCGAAAGAAGAAGCACCGGCUAACUACGUG